RNAcentral lists this ribosomal RNA (325 nucleotides) under Necator americanus (New World hookworm). The record is from RNAcentral. Lineage: Eukaryota; Metazoa; Nematoda; Chromadorea; Rhabditida; Ancylostomatidae.
AACGAUAAUACUACAGUGUAGCUUGUGGACAGUACUCUCACCGAGUAUUGUYGAACACUGUUUGUCGAACGGUACUUGCUCUGUACUACGCAUUGUAUACGUGUUCAGCAAUUCCCGUUUAAGUGAAGAACACAYGUGCAACAUGUGCACGCUGUUAUUCACUACGUUAGUURGCUAGUUUACUAACGUAUGAUAGCGGUGCAUACUGUAUGACAUGAACAUAUCGUUGUUCACUGUUUAAUUCGCUCUCGCGACUUAUGAGCGUGGUUGAACGGAGACAAUGUGAAGGACAACGAUGUUCGCCAUGUGGAUGUGUCAUUUGCAA